UAUUUAGGUAGUGCCUCGAGUAUGAGACUGAUGGGGGUAAAGCACUGUUAUGGCUAGGGGGUUAUUGCAACUUACCAACCCAUGGCAAACUAAGAAUACCAUCAAGUUGCUCCUCGGGAGACAGACAUCGGGUGCUAACGUCCGGUGUCAAGAGGGAAACAACCCAGACCGCCAGCUAAGGUCCCAAAUGAUAGAUUAAGUGGUAAACGAAGUAGGAAGGCACAGACAGCCAGGAUGUUGGCUUAGAAGCAGCCAUCAUUCAAAGAAAGCGUAAUAGCUCACUGGUCGAGUCUUCCUGCGCGGAAGAUGUAACGGGGCUCAAAUCUAUAACCGAAGCUGCGGAUAUACUUUUGUAUAUGGUAGGGGAGCGUUCUGUAAGCCUGUGAAGGUGACUUGUAAAGGUUGCUGGAGGUAUCAGAAGUGCGAAUGUUGACAUGAGUAGCGAUAAAGCGGGUGAAAAGCCCGCUCGCCGAAAGCCCAAGGUUUCCUACGCAACGUUCAUCGGCGUAGGGUGAGUCGGCCCCUAAGGCGAGGCAGAAAUGCGUAGUCGAUGGGAAACAGGUUAAUAUUCCUGUACUUUGAUUCAAUGCGAUGUGGGGACGGAGAAGGUUAGGUUAGCAAACUGUUGGAAUAGUUUGUUUAAGCCAGUAGGUGGAAAGAGUAGGCAAAUCCGCUCUUUCUUAACACCGAGACGUGAUGACGAGUGUCUACGGACAUGAAGUGACCAAUACCACGCUUCCAGGAAAAGCCACUAAGCUUCAGUUGAAUCAGAACCGUACCGCAAACCGACACAGGUGGGCAGGAUGAGAAUUCUAAGGCGCUUGAGAGAACUCGGGAGAAGGAACUCGGCAAAUUGAUACCGUAACUUCGGGAGAAGGUAUGCCCUCUAAUGUUAAGGACUUGCUCCGUAAGCAUUUGAGGGUCGCAGAGAAUCGGUGGCUGCGACUGUUUAUUAAAAACACAGCACUCUGCUAACACGAAAGUGGACGUAUAGGGUGUGACGCCUGCCCGGUGCUGGAAGGUUAAUUGAAGAUGUGCAAGCAUCGGAUCGAAGCCCCAGUAAACGGCGGCCGUAACUAUAACGGUCCUAAGGUAGCGAAAUUCCUUGUCGGGUAAGUUCCGACCCGCACGAAUGGCGUAACGAUGGCCACACUGUCUCCUCCCGAGACUCAGCGAAGUUGAAAUGGUUGUGAAGAUGCAAUCUCCCCGCUGCUAGACGGAAAGACCCCGUGAACCUUUACUG
This 1243-nucleotide ribosomal RNA is filed under the name Kingella kingae. RNAcentral describes it as "partial 23S ribosomal RNA". It matches the Rfam family "Bacterial large subunit ribosomal RNA", at positions 867 to 2106 of the family's 2925-position model. The record is from RNAcentral. Lineage: Bacteria; Pseudomonadati; Pseudomonadota; Betaproteobacteria; Neisseriales; Neisseriaceae.